UACGAAGGGGGCUAGCGUUGCUCGGAAUCACUGGGCGUAAAGCGCACGUAGGCGGCUUUCUAAGUCAGGGGUGAAAUCCUGGAGCUCAACUCCAGAACUGCCUUUGAUACUGGAGAGCUUGAGUCCGGGAGAGGUGAGUGGAACUCCGAGUGUAGAGGUGAAAUUCGUAGAUAUUCGGAAGAACACCAGUGGCGAAGGCGGCUCACUGGCCCGGUACUGACGCUGAGGUGCGAAAGCGUGGUGAGCAAACAGG
This 253-nucleotide ribosomal RNA is filed under the name uncultured bacterium. RNAcentral's name for it is "partial 16S ribosomal RNA". It matches the Rfam family "Bacterial small subunit ribosomal RNA", at positions 524 to 776 of the family's 1533-position model. The record is from RNAcentral.